GACGAACGCUGGCGGCGUGCUUAACACAUGCAAGUCGAACGGAAAGGCCCUGCUUUUGUAGGGUGCUCGAGUGGCGAACGGGUGAGUAACACGUGAGUAACCUGCCCUUGACUUUGGGAUAACUUCAGGAAACUGGGGCUAAUACCGGAUAGGAGCUCCUGCUGCAUGGUGGGGGUUGGAAAGUUUCGGCGGUUGGGGAUGGACUCGCGGCUUAUCAGCUUGUUGGUGGGGUAGUGGCUUACCAAGGCUUUGACGGGUAGCCGGCCUGAGAGGGUGACCGGCCACAUUGGGACGGAGAUACGGCCCAGACUCCUACGGGAGGCAGCAGUGGGGAAUAUUGCACAAUGGGCGGAAGCCUGAUGCAGCAACGCCGCGUGCGGGAUGACGGCCUUCGGGUUGUAAACCGCUUUCGCCUGUGACGAAGCGUGAGUGACGGUAAUGGGUAAAGAAGCACCGGCUAACUACGUG
This 468-nucleotide ribosomal RNA is filed under the name uncultured bacterium. RNAcentral's name for it is "partial 16S ribosomal RNA". It matches the Rfam family "Bacterial small subunit ribosomal RNA", at positions 28 to 507 of the family's 1533-position model. The record is from RNAcentral.